UACAGAGGGUGCGAGCGUUGUUCGGAAUUAUUGGGCGUAAAGGGCGCGUAGGCGGUGCGGUAAGUCACCUGUGAAAUCUCCUGGCUCAACUGGGAGCUUGCAGGCGAAACUGCCGUGCUGGAGUGUGGGAGAGGUGCGUGGAAUUUCCGGUGUAGCGGUGAAAUGCGUAGAUAUCGGGAGGAACACCUGUGGCGAAAGCGGCAUCCUGGACCGGCACUGACGCUGAGGAGCGAAAGCCAGGGGAGCAAACGGG
Molecule: ribosomal RNA, 253 nt
Filed under: uncultured bacterium
Lineage: Bacteria
Description: partial 16S ribosomal RNA
Rfam family: Bacterial small subunit ribosomal RNA
Source: RNAcentral